AAAAUUGGAAAAAACAAGAAUUGAGCGCAUCAAUGUUUUGAUGCGCUCAAUUCUUGUUUUUUCCA
Molecule: small nucleolar RNA, 65 nt
Filed under: Tetranychus urticae (two-spotted spider mite)
Lineage: Eukaryota; Metazoa; Arthropoda; Arachnida; Trombidiformes; Tetranychidae
Description: snoRNA tetur02g15111
Source: RNAcentral